UGGGGAAUAUUGCACAAUGGGCGAAAGCCUGAUGCAGCAACGCCGCGUGAGGGACGACGGCCUUCGGGUUGUAAACCUCUUUUAGCAAGGAAGAAGCGAAAGUGACGGUACUUGCAGAAAAAGCGCCGGCUAACUACGUGCCAGCAGCCGCGGUAAUACGUAGGGCGCAAGCGUUAUCCGGAAUUAUUGGGCGUAAAGAGCUCGUAGGCGGUUUGUCGCGUCUGCUGUGAAAACCCGAGGCUCAACCUCGGGCCUGCAGUGGGUACGGGCAGACUAGAGUGCGGUAGGGGAGAUUGGAACUCCUGGUGUAGCGGUGGAAUGCGCAGAUAUCAGGAAGAACACCGAUGGCGAAGGCAGAUCUCUGGGCCGUAACUGACGCUGAGG
This 384-nucleotide ribosomal RNA is filed under the name uncultured bacterium. RNAcentral describes it as "partial 16S ribosomal RNA". It matches the Rfam family "Bacterial small subunit ribosomal RNA", at positions 355 to 751 of the family's 1533-position model. The record is from RNAcentral.